This 301-nucleotide ribosomal RNA is filed under the name uncultured bacterium. RNAcentral's name for it is "partial 16S ribosomal RNA". It matches the Rfam family "Bacterial small subunit ribosomal RNA", at positions 509 to 807 of the family's 1533-position model. The record is from RNAcentral.
CAGUAGCCGCGGUAAUACAGAGGAUGCAAGCGUUAUCCGGAAUGAUUGGGCGUAAAGCGUCUGUAGGUGGCUUUUCAAGUCCGCCGUCAAAUCCCAGGGCUCAACCCUGGACAGGCGGUGGAAACUACCAAGCUGGAGUACGAUAGGGGCAGAGGGAAUUUCCGGUGGAGUGGUGAAAUGCGUUGAGAUCGGAAAGAACACCAACGGCGAAAGCACUCUGCUGGGCCGACACUGACACUGAGAGACGAAAGCUAGGGGAGCAAAUGGGAUUAGAUACCCGUGUAGUCCCUGUCUCUUAUAC